AUUUGGACUUAGAUUUAGAAUAAAAAAUUCUGGUGUCUUAAGUAAGGAAUCUUUCCAGUUUCAAGAGAGUUCCUAAAAGUAUUGUAAUCUAUUUACAGAACCAUGAAAAAUGAGAACAAUAUGAAUAUUUAUUCGGAUAAUAUAAUAACAGUAAAAUACAAUAUGUGGGUGUAGCAGGCAAAAAAGGGCACCUCAAAAGAUAUAUUUACUUCCUAAUCCCAAGAGCCUGGGAAUAUUACAUAAUAGAGCCAAAGAUGCAAUUACAUUCAAGAUCUUGAGAGAAGGAAUUUAUCCAGAAUUGUUUGGUGGGCCCUAAAUGUAAUCACAUAUUAUUAUAAGGGUGAGACAGAGGGAAAUUAGACAUGUGGAAGAGAAGAUGCACUGAAGACAAGACCAUGUAAAGGCAGAGCAGAUAGAGAUAUGGCCACAAGUCGAGGAAGGCCAACGGCCACCAGAAGCUGGAGGAGGCAAGGAAUGGAUUCUUUCAAGAGCUUCUGGAGACAGUGUGAUCCUCUGACACCUUGAUAUUGGACUCCUGACCUCCAGAACUCUAAGAGAAUAAAUUUCUGUUGUUUUAAGCCAUCAAGUUUGUGAUAAUUUGUUAUAGCAGCCACAGGUAACUAAUACAGUUGAGUAUAGGCUUACAGAAGUUUUGUUUCCCUCGUAACUUAAAAAUCAUGCUACUUCUUUUAAUAUUGGGUUACAAGUAGAAAGUACACAGUUGUACCUUGAUGAAAUGCAUUGCAAGUUUACAAAAUAUUUUGCCCAUCAAAAUGUUCUUUAUUUUUAAUAAAAUUAUGAUAUACUCCUGGCAUCAAAAACAUUUGGCUAGAUUGUUAGGGGGUCAGGAUGAUUAAAAGUUAGGUUGUAGUUUAAUUUAUGUUUGUCAUGAUUUUUAAAAAUAAAUGAAUAAAAACAGUAACAACACAUAAUGCUCAUUUUUCUUUUUUCUCUGACUUUGCAGGUUUAACAGUGCACAUUCUACAGCCAAAGAAAGGAGCACUUCUCUCAGAUUCUAUGCUUGAGUUUUGCAUUUAUUGAUACUACUUGUGGAGAAUUAUUUAUUUCCUUUCUCUCCCCUCACCUCUCAAAUGCUUACUUUGUGGCUCUUAUGUGUCAUGGGUUGUUCAAAAUGCUGGGACCAUAUCAUAAAGCUGAUAUGCUCCUUAUCUACAGGGUCACCACUAACCCAUUAGUGCCUUUGCACAAAUUAGUAAAGGUACCUCCAUUCAGCAGUCACAUCCUAAGGGUAUGGGUUUUGUCCAACUAUGUAAAGCCCAGAUUUUAGCCACACUUGCUCCCUUGGCUUAGUACUUUUGUGCAGAACGCAACCUGCACAGCUAUAGGCAGAAGCCCUGCAUAGUCUCAAGAAGAUUAUUAUGCAGCCAAGGCAGAUGCUUUUUCAGUUAGUAUCUCUAGCACCUUUUUCUUUGAAAAAGAGACAAAAAUUGUUUCCAGGUUAGAUUAGUCUUCCCUUUAUCUGCUCCGGAUAUGUUCCAAGACUCCCAGUGGAUGCCUGAAACCAUCAAUAACACUGAACUAUUUUUGGAUGGCAGUUGACUACAGGUAACUGAAACCACAGAAAGUGAAAUGAUAGAUAAGAGAGAACUUCUCUUCUGAAUAGAGCAGGCUCCAUUUCUGAAGAAGGUUGUGUACACCAGGGAAUAGAGAAGCUGAGAAGAGCCAUCUGAAACCAGAAAUCACCGAAAUCACACCCCUUUGAGGUUAAAGCUCUUGGCCAGCAUUCCAACACUAUCCAAGUUGAACUCUUUGAAGUCCAUGCCUUGCUAAUAAUGAUAUAGCAGAUAUUUGUCCAAAAUAAUCACUAGUGGAUUUGUAUAGAAACAUGCCUAACAGGCGAAGAUUGGGAAAUACAUAUGGUCAAUUAUAAAUUAACUAAAAAAAAAACUGCACUGCAGGAACCCAAUGAGAAGAAGUCUGUGACAUUCAGAACAAACAUACUGUAUUAAUUAUUAUUAUUCAUUCUGUAUUGCCACAAGUGUACACAAUACUACGUAAAUGGUUGACAGAACUGGAGAAAGAAUAAUAUCCUAGCCCUGGAAUGCUUAUAAUUUAUGUAAACACAUCCUUUUAUUUUGUUUUUCCAAGCCAUAUCUCUCUGAAUUGUGAUUCUGCUUAUUUUGCUCAUAUUCAUAUUUCAUCUCUGGUUCUCAUAUAAACUAAAAAAUGAGUUGUCUUAGAAGGCACACAUGUUUUUCCAAAAUGAUGAUUCUCUUGCAUAGGAUUUGAACGGUCUCAUUGGGAAUUCUGAAUAAAGAGCCAUUCCUUGGUUGGGGUCCCCCUGUAUAUCUGAAAUGAGAAAAGGGGAAUAUAUUUAAGGCCCUUUGGAGAUGAAUGGUGCUGGAAGAGUAAAGUAUUAUUAGGAACUUUUCUUGGUAGACUAUCAAAAGUCUUUGUGUUUGUAAGUGUUCCUUCUACUAUGAAAAUACAGAGGAAGCAAAGUUGAAGAGAUUAGCACCAACAUUUAUUAUUACCCAAAUUGCUUGCUAGUUCUGCCUCCUGAUCGCACUGUUAAUUCAUCAGGCUCAUUAGUUUCCCACAGUAUACAUUCAUGCUAUAUUAUUGUUUUAUUUAAACUUACCCAUGAAAGAUCUUUAAACUGGCUUAAUUUAGAAGCUGAUUGAGUGAUUUACAUGGCCUCUCAAGUUUUUGUUAAAUAGCAAUAAGCAUUCCACAGACAGGCAAAUUCAGUAUUAACAUGAAUGUGACAUUGGAGAAAUUUCUGUUUUUAUUGUAACUACAAAUAUUGCUUGUUUUACUACCCUUUAUUUUACCAUUUGAAAACAUUUGAAAGACACAAUUUAAACCUUGAUACAAACUGUAUUAGUCUUUGAAAAAUUUCUCCUUAAAAUCAGAAACAAAAUUUGUGACUAAAUUUGGAAACUCUAAUUUGAAGAUCCUGUAUAAUAUGAUUGAAAUUCAUAUAUACUUCCUGAUAUGAAAUACCAACAUUUAUAAAAAUAAAGGGGAGGCCAGGAAGAUAAGUUUGUUUUAAUUCCCCAAUAUUAAUAAGGGCCCUUCUCUGUGUGAGGCAUUAUACUAGGCACUAUUGAUACCAGGUUGAAUAAAACAGACAUAUUCCCAGAAUCUGUGCGUGUGAAUAAUGUAAACUGACAAUCACAAUACUUUGUGGAAGUGUUUUAAUAUGACAAGUACAGAAUAGACUGUGAGAUCCUUUUUUAGGACUCUAAACUCAUACUUAAUUAGGAAGGACUUCCUAGAGAAAAUGAGGUCUAUGUAGCGAUUUGAAAAAUUAGAGUUAGGUGAAAGUCAGGGGUGGGAGUUAAAAGUAGAUUCUAGGUAGGGGAAUAGAAAAGUCUAGAGGCAGGUGAAUUUCUAGUAAGAGUCUAGAAUUGAAAGUAAUCCAGUAUGGCUUGAGCUUAGAUUGCAGAGAUGGAGCAGGAGGAGUAAAGCAAACUAAACAAAAGUUAAAUUAUUCAGCAUCAUGUAAGUCAAGAUAAUGUACUUGUACCAUAUACUAGAACUAAAACAGAGGUUCCUAAUUUGUGUUCCAUGGCCUUGUAGGGAGUCAUGAAUGAGAUUCAGGGAAUUGCUUGUGAAAAUUUUUUGCAUAAACAAAUUCUGAAAGGGUCCUGACAAGCCACUCUCCUUGUUAAGAACAAAAAUCUCCUCCUUGAUGUUUGUCCCCAACCAACACACAUAACUAUCUGUGUAAUGCUGUCAACUGGACUUUGACAACCUUAUUCAUUCACACAUUCAUAUGUUCAACCCAGUUAUGGAAUUUUUCAUAAACAAGAGAUACAGUGGUGAAAGAGAGAAAACAGACUCCUAGAAGAGGAAGACAAGAAAUAAAUAACAAAUAAAUGAGUAAAUUUCAUAGUAGUAAGCAUUAUAAAAAAACUAAAAUAAAAGACUCUGAUAGAGAAGAAGGCUUCCCUGAAGAGGUGACGUUUGAGCUAAAAAUUGGCAAGAAACUGAAAUAGCAAGUGCAAAGGCCCUGACACUGAAUUGGUUUGAUGUGUUUGCUGAGUAGAAAGAAGGCCAGUGUUGCUGCAGUAUAGUUAGUUGUGGGGAGAGUAGUACAAAGUAGGAUGACACUGGAGAUUGGGCCAAGAAUCAGGUCAUGUAGGUCAUGGUCAGGAAUUUGAAUUUUAUUUCAGUGCCAUAGGAAAUCAUUGAAAGAAUUUAGCAGUAUCAUUACAUGAUCUGAUUUAUGUUAAGGAGAGAAGAAAGAAGUAGGAAAGGUAAGAGUAGACAAAGGGAGACUAGUUAGCAAUCUUUUGCAGUAGUUUAGAUGAGAGAUAAUGUCUUGAGGGUGACAGUAAUGGAAAUGAAGAUUAGUAUAUAAACUUGAGAUGAAUUUUGGCAUCAUACACAGCUGCCUGCAUAUUUGGAGUGGUGCCAAAUUACAAUGGAUAAGAUUAUUUAAAUACAAAUGUCUUUAAAAGGAAAAUAUCAGAGGUGUUUCAACAAAAUUACUUUUAAGGUUCUGUCUGACAAAAUGAAGUUAGGAUAUAUGAGUUCAAAUCUUAACCCCGUCAUUUAUGACCUUAGGCCAACCAGUCAUUUUACUCUUCUGGGGUUGAUUUUAUCAUCUAAAAAAGGAAGCUAAUAAAAUGUGAAAGCACCUGCUACCACGUAAAUUUUGUUUAGUUUUUUAAAAGAACGGUCAACAAUUUCAGCAACUACCAAAUCAUCAUUGACAAUGGGUAGCAGAAAAAGGAGAUAAGAAGAAGAUCCAGAGGGCAAAAAAGUCAUUUUUCCCAGAAAUGAAAUUGCUACCUUUUAAAAAUCAUGUCUGAUCCUUUUUGAAAAUGUGUUUUCAGGACCCCAUUAAGCAUGGUUUUAACCAUUCCUUUUGUUUCUCUAUUCAGAACUCCAUACACACAAGCUAGGCAGUGAGAUUUUCAAUUCCAUGUAAACAAUGUAGCCUGGCUUCUGAAAAUUAAUUCUGCAUAUAUUACAUGCAUUGAUAUUCAAAUAUUCACACGAACUUCACAGCAAGCUACAGUGAUUAUGACCUCCACAAUCACCUUAAUUGCUCAGCCCUUCUCCAGGAGUAUGCCCGGGAGUCACUGAGGAUGAGCUCAGUCUUUUGUGUAUUUACAAAUCAUUUCCUCUUUUUUCUGUUUUCUGUGAAAACUGCAGUUAAAAGUAACUCUAGGAAGCAGGUUUGGGGUGGGGGAGUAGAAUAGUCUUGAAAAGCUUUAAUUAGAUACCUGCUUUGUGAAAACGAGGAACUCACAUUGUUUGUGGUUUUAAUUUAAAAACUGAGCUAUCUUUUGCUCUCUUACCUUAAGCAGCUAGGUCAGUGUUCAGUAAAACUGUGGCUUAGUUACUGUUGUUUAUAGAAACUGGAGUUCUUUGUCAUACUGCCAUACUGGUAUAAAACCAAACAAAAC
This 5384-nucleotide long non-coding RNA is filed under the name Homo sapiens (human). RNAcentral's name for it is "HSALNT0009081". Lineage: Eukaryota; Metazoa; Chordata; Mammalia; Primates; Hominidae. The record is from RNAcentral.